Molecule: ribosomal RNA, 404 nt
Filed under: Ennomos autumnarius
Lineage: Eukaryota; Metazoa; Arthropoda; Insecta; Lepidoptera; Geometridae
Description: partial 28S ribosomal RNA
Source: RNAcentral
UGCGAAACUCGAAUGAACGAACGGAGAGAUUCAUCGUCAUUCCUCGGUGCACUUGCGUGCGUUCGAUGUUAUCGGCUUCGGUCGUUGGCACUGCGCGCGCUCGUAGCGUCCGGGGACGGCGUGCACUUCUCUCUUAGUAAUACAUCGCGACCCGUUCGAUGUCGGUCUAAGUGCCUUUCGGGAGUCUCCGUUUCUAGUUCGCUAGUUUUGGAUACCGUGAAGUGCACCGACCGGCUGUUGGACGGUAGAUUUGAUGAAACGCUCACGCGCUAGCGCGCGUCAGGCCCGACGCAAGGCAACGUCGUAUUCCGCGUCCUGCCCGAGUGCGGACGUAGAUGCGGCGCGCCUGUCGUCGCAGCCGUGCUGUCUCUGACCGUGUGCGUAUCUGUCUGCGAUGAUUCAGU